Molecule: ribosomal RNA, 412 nt
Filed under: Gracilibracon sp.
Lineage: Eukaryota; Metazoa; Arthropoda; Insecta; Hymenoptera; Braconidae
Description: partial 16S ribosomal RNA
Source: RNAcentral
GUCUUGAUGAAUUAAAUAUUAAGUCUAAUCUGCCCACUGAAGUUUUAAAUGGCUGCAGUAUUAAUAACUGUACAAAGGUAGCAUAAUAAUUUGUUUUUUAAUUAAAAACUAGAAUGAAAGAUUGAAUGAAAUAUAAACUGUUUCAAUUAAUUUUAUUGAAUUUUUUAUUUAAGUAAAAAAACUUAAAUAAAUUUUAAAGACGAUAAGACCCUAUAGAAUUUAAUUUUUAUUAUUUAAAAAAAAUUUUAAAAAUAAAAAUUUAGUUGGGGUAAUGAAAAAAUUUAAUUAAUUUUUUUUAAAAAAGAUAUUUAUAAAUAAAUUAUUUUACUUAAAUUAUGAAUUAAAAAAAUUAAUUACCUUAGGGAUAACAGCAUAAUUUUUUUUGAAAGAUCUUAUUAAUAGAAAAGAUUAU